UACGUAGGUGGCAAGCGUUGUCCGGAUUUACUGGGCGUAAAGAGCGCGCAGGCGGUCGAAUAAGUCGAAUGUGAAAGCCCCGGCUUAACUGGGGAGGGUCAUUCGAUACUGCUCGACUUGAAGGCAGGAGAGGGUAGUGGAAUUCCCGGUGUAGUGGUGAAAUGCGUAGAUAUCGGGAGGAACACCAGUGGCGAAGGCGACUACCUGGCCUGUUCUUGACGCUGAGGCGCGAAAGCUGGGGGAGCAAACGGGG
Molecule: ribosomal RNA, 253 nt
Filed under: uncultured bacterium
Lineage: Bacteria
Description: partial 16S ribosomal RNA
Rfam family: Bacterial small subunit ribosomal RNA
Source: RNAcentral